Long non-coding RNA from Manis pentadactyla (Chinese pangolin), 4431 nucleotides. RefSeq lists it as uncharacterized. The record is from RefSeq and is a predicted model, not a curated record. NCBI's taxonomy places the organism in Eukaryota, Metazoa, Chordata, Mammalia, Pholidota, Manidae. The transcript has 5 exons.
AGCUACUAUAUGAUAUUUAUAAUAAAUACAUAUACACACACAUAAACACCCCCCCAUAUAUAUAUAUAUAUAAAACAAAGAUGGAAAAAUGAAGAAAUCAGUAAGAAAAUCAAUAGGAAAAAGACAACCACAUAGAAAAAUAGGCAAAGAAUCUGCCCAUGCAAAUCACAGAAGAAAUCAUGUGGACUGUAAGAAACAUGCACACAUAUGCAACUUUACACAUUAUAUGGGAAAUGAGAGUGACACAGAUUUAAAAGUCUGAUACUACCCUGUCCCUCUGCUAGUGGGCACAGCUCAAGUCUCCUCACUGUGACCAGGCCCUUCAGGGAUACAACAGAGGCUGGGGGCCUUCAGAGAGAGAGUGCAGUGUUGUAAACAGAACCACUGAAAGGAUACUAAGUGCCUGGGAUACAGCAAGAGCCCCGUGGAUGUGCUCUCUCUUCCCUCUCGUAGCUACUAGAGAAUGGAUCUUAAUCAGCAGAGCCACUGCCCUCCUAGUCCAUCACAAGGCCCAUUGCCCCUGAAAGGCCCAACCGAGGCAACCACACCACUACCGAGGGAAUGAAGGAUUUUGAGUCAGAGAACCUGGAUUUACUGAGGACCUUUGGACAGAUUCUUCAACUGUGAGACUCCAUUUCCACUUCUGCGAAGAGAACUACUAAUGAACUCAAUGUGAUCUUGAAGAUGCCAAUAAGCUAGUGAAUGCAGCUUAAACUGUACAGAACCCCCACAAAGGUAAGUGGUUGCUAACAUCCCCAUGGCUAGUGGGGACAUGCCAAGUCUCUUCACUGUGACCAGUGGUUCACACACAGAAAUGUCAUCAUCCUUUCCAGCUCCUACUUGUAUGUAUUAUGAAGUUAUGACCCUGUGGAUGUUGAUGCCCACAAAAGCAACCAGUAAGAGAAAAUGCUGGAUCCUUUCUUUUCCUGCCAGUGUGUAACCUUCAUGGGGGUGGACAGGGUGCAUUUAAAAUAAUGGGCGGGUUGAUUCUUUCUGUGUGUCUAUUUCCAGAGUUCUAACGUAUAUUCUUUCUCCAGCAUUCUGCCUUCUAUUUUCUUCUCUCUAUACAGGCACUUUUAAUACCAAUCUAUUAAAAGCAGAUAUCUUAAGAUAUGGUUUACAAAAGCCUCUCUUGCAUCACCAGGCUGAGUUAAAAUUCUGAGCAUAGAGGCUUCUGAAGGAGAAACACAGGACAGGUAGCCAGGAGACUAAACUUUGGUAGAUGGUGUCAAGCCAACAACUCUCUGUGGGGCCUGAGGCAAAGCCACCUGACCUCUUUGGGGCUCCAUGUUCUCAUUCUGAGUUCUUAGAGGACACUAAAAUACCCAUAGAACAUGAAUUUACUAUAAACACAUGUUUGCUCUUUAUAUUUAAUACUUAUAUCUACGCAUUUAUAUUUCAACAGUGGGAUCUCUUCCAAUAUGUACAUUAUAAAACUCUGGUUCAGGGCUCAGCCAAGGAGCCCCGGGACUGCGCAGGGCUGCUCCUUAUGGGCGCACUGCCUUUAUCUCUAACAACCAUCUGUGGCUUCAGCUGUUACUGAAAGCAGCCACUUGCCCUUUGAUGUUUGAGGCCCAUUACUUUCCUUUUUGACUUAACCAACAGGUGUUCUCAGACUCUUUUUUUUAUAUGGGCUGUCUUCCCUCAGGGUUCCAGCAAACAGAUUUUCUUAAAAGAUUUCUAAGAGGCACAGGGAAGUAAAUGUCCCCUGGUCCACUGGUUCCCCCGCUGGAACUGCAGUCUGUCGUGACCACCCUGAAGUCUUGACCUUUCCCACUUCUUUGAAGAUGCAGGGACUCAUGGGCAAACCACAAGGACCAACCCUAAAUAGAGGUUUACAGAACAAAGGGUGUGUCUAUGCGUCACUGCUUGAAUGGAUCCCAGGAAAGCAGAAGACCUGGAGCAGAGAUGGCUGUGUCACAGGUCGGAGGAGUUCUUUACAGCCUAGCACUGCAUGUGGCCCAGAGUGCCAUGGCCAUAGAUGAAGCCUCAGGCUCUCUGAUACCCUGGGCCCUUGCUCAAGGCAGCAGAAAGCUUCUCUUGGUCUAACGGAAUUCAAAGAGACUCAGAGAGAUUGAGUGCAACAUGGCCCUAGAAAACCUCAAACUGCCAGACAACUGCAUCCCUCAUAGUCACUGCAGGACAAAGGAAAAUCUCCCAGAUGGGUGGGCAGCCUUCGCUUGGGGACGAUCAAGUCCUAAUGUCAGUCACCCAUUGCCGGAACUGCAGGAGGAAACACGUGGUGGGGCUGAACUGACCUUGCUUACCGAAGCACCCUGUCCACUGUGAACAUUCAGAAUGGGUGCGGGAUCUACAGCAGUCCAGUGAGACCUGAUCCUGAGACUCCUGCAGGAACCACGGGUAAAGAGAAGCUCUCCUUUCUCCAGGGUUGUUUGCUGAGAGGAUAUAAACCUGAAGCUGCUGGUGGCCACUUUACUACUACAUGGAGAAGGGGGACCUGAGAAUGGAACCAACUCUGAGGAAAGCAGAACCAGACGGAGACAGACUCCUGAAGACAAAGACUGAGGAAACCAGAUUUAACUCUGGACAAUUUACUUAGUGCACAUGGGAGAUGUACAACUCCACCCUCCAUGACUUGCUCUGUAACUUGCUUUCACUUGUGGAAAGGAACUGAGGUACUGGGUGUCACUUCCAGGCAGAGUUUUAAGAGCCUGUCUGUAAUCUGCUAUUUUUCCUUCUUCCGCCCCAGCGAUCGUGAGUGUGGCAGAUUGGGCCAGAUUCCUCAGGUCUGAACCUCAGGGACUGUGAGAAGCAGAGCCCCCUGCUGACUGGCGUUAGAAAUGCAGAGUGAGGGAGAUGGGGACUUUGUGUGAAGCCACUGAGUUUGGGGGAUUGUGUGUUACUGGAGUUACUCUACUAAUGUGAGGUAUACGAAAAUUACGGAAAACAUUAAGAGUUUGAGCCUGGAAUGGAAGACAACAUGCAAAAAUGAAAAUUACUGUUUGUUUUUCCAAAAGGGGUAGCUUUCAUUAUUAUAAAACAUAAAAAUUACUUCCCCCCUGCUUAUUAAAAUGUUUUAAAGGCAUGGAAAACUCAAGGAACAUGAAAGAAACAACUGGUUUUUUGUAAGAUUGUACUCUUGUAAAAAUUUGGAUUUAUAGCAGAAGGCUUUAUAAAAAAGCAGUGGGAAUAACUCAGCUAUUUUGCUGAAGGAUGCUAUUGUGUUUACAUUAACUGACAGUACCUAGGAGCUUCAAUAAAUGGAGUUUGUUGGGGGAGGGAGGCAUUUCUCUUAUUUUCCAGAAUCAAAUAGGAAAUUAUUUUCUCCUUCGAAUUCAUAGGAAAUUGUGGAUUCCUACCCCCUAGGUUUUUCUUUAAUUAGAAGUAUCAUCUCCAAACUCAGAUCUCUUUCACCCAGGGCUUCACCUCCCCUGAAAUAAUGAAAAAUAUGGUGGAGAGAAAGUGGGCAGCACAAACUAGACAUGCAAAGCUUGAUGAACUGUAAAGAAAGUAGGCCAGUGAAGUCAGAGUGCCAGCAGGCCACUGGCAUUGAGGGAGCUCCCAUUCCUAGGGACUGGGGUCACCUGUGACAUGUGACAAUCUGCCACUUUACUGAGGCAUGGAUUUGAAUGCCUUACACCGAUGACAGGUAUGGGAGUGCCACUCACAGUGAGCAAGGGAGGACAGCUGACUGCUCUGCUCCUACAGCUCGCCACGGUCACUGUUUGCUUACAUCGACAGGGACUACAGAGCUGAGAUUCCAGCAUCGACUCUGGGGACACGCAGUCUGAAUUUGAAUCCUUGUUCUGCCAAUCACUAGUGGGUUAUUUAACCUCUCUGUGCUUUAGUUUUUUCAUCUUGAAAACAGGAAUAAAAGCACCUAUGUCAAAGGUUGCUGGAGGAUUACAGGAGCCACGUAUGUGAAGCUCUCAGCCUGCAGCCUCAGACCCAGUGCCCACUGUGUCAGUCAUUACCGUACCACUAUGCUCACUCCUGCUGAAGUCACUGUCACUCCCUUGAAGUGGCAUUUUUUACUUCAAACACUCACCCCACAGGGGAGUUAACUCCUUAUACUGCUGCUGGAAGUGGAGAGAAGCAUAAAGACUUGUGCAUAACUGACAAUUCUUUGAAGAAAUUCAAGUAUUUUUGUACCAUAUUUAUAGCAUCAUUAAGAUUCUGAAGGGGCCACUUAUACUUGACAGCACCUUAUGGAAAAAUCAUGUGCCAUUAUAGCAUUUUUAUGAACCUGAACAUUAGCUAAGGACUGAGGACAUAGUUCCUAAGAAUACUAAGGGCCUACCAUAUUCUACCUUGAGGUAGAAAGCUCACAUUCCUUUCCCCUUCACAAGGUUGAGGGGAGACCUUUGUGGGAAGAGUGACCAUAGUAUUAUCAGAGGACAACUACAGCAGCAGGGGGUGUCCUUGCAUCUCCUGAGAUCAAGGGGUCACACCACUGGCCAGAAGAAAGAU